CUCUUUUUCUUUCUUAAAAUAUAAAUCAUUCCACAGUUCUUUUUUCUUCUUCUUCUUGUCAGGAAGGUUCCUGUAGGUCUGAUUGACUUCUAGGUUCUGCUGAGUAUACUACACCAGCUGCUUGUUGUCUGUUCACUCUAAACAUUAGAUUCCAUCAUCAAUUGCUUGUUUAAUUUUUUUCUACUCUUAUAUCUUCCUAGAGUAAUUUCCCUAUAAAAAUAAGUUUCUGUUUUUCACCUUAUCUUCUAAUCCUUAUUUCCCACUAGUCUUUUGAGACCUAAUAAUUAUACAGUUAAGUAUG
RNAcentral lists this long non-coding RNA (301 nucleotides) under Bos taurus (domestic cattle). RNAcentral describes it as "long non-coding RNA NONBTAT025242". Lineage: Eukaryota; Metazoa; Chordata; Mammalia; Artiodactyla; Bovidae. The record is from RNAcentral.